Coregonus clupeaformis (lake whitefish) is the source of this 1440-nucleotide long non-coding RNA. RefSeq lists it as uncharacterized. The record is from RefSeq and is a predicted model, not a curated record. The transcript is spliced from 3 exons. Lineage: Eukaryota; Metazoa; Chordata; Actinopteri; Salmoniformes; Salmonidae.
CAGCUCAUUCAAAUUAGACUGAAAAGCAUUAUGGAUCGGCCAUGCAAUGUAUGCUUCCAGCAGAAUGAACAGCCAACAACUAUGGUUUGCAUGCCCUGCCGAAGGACCCUAUUGCACAGCCAACAACUAGGGUUUGCAUGCCCUGGCGAAGGACCCUAUUGCACAGCCAACAACUAUGGUCUGCCCUGCCGAAGGACCCUAUCAUGCAGAACAGGUGGAUGGAGUUCGUGGUUCCCAGUCGUGACAAAGUGUACAGUUGGGUGCCAGACUGAUCCCCUGGGUAUGAACGGAUGCCGGGACCUACCAGAAGGAGCAAAGGUGGGUAUCAUAACCAUAGUUUCACUUCAGAAGUUGCUGUAAUUGAAUGAACAUACAUUUUUGACCCAUUAAUUACGCGUGGUUACAGGGUUGAAACAGAAACAACUCAAAGGGUUAAGUUUAGGUAUUCAUUUAGAGUGAUUAGGGUUAUGGUUUGGGGAAGGCUUAAAACAAAAUAGUUAAAAACAAUCGCUGUUUCCAUUAAGUAUCAUCAAGUACUCUCCUUGCUUGCUAGGGAAUUGUGAACUGCCGUGGCACGGUGGUCUAAGCAGUGCUCUCUGGCUCUAAACCUUGUGAGGGGGGGGGUGAGCACCGACAAAUGCAUAUAUUGAUGUCCUCAGGACCUUUUCAAACGUCCAAAAUCGAUGGCUCUUUCUUGUGACUAGCCUGAUCAUAACAUGUCCAGCAAUGUGAUUGCAAUUCUUUAGCGACCUCAUAAGAUUGCCUGCUGCAGUUGUUAGAGCGAUGUCCAGUUUGCAGCAGAACAUGCAGCAUAGACAAGACCAGCAAGGGAGCCCUCAUCAGCAUCAUGCAGACAGGCCCUCGCUGUGAGCAUUCCUAUGAAUGGAACAGUCAGCCACAUGUUGGCAAGUAUCUGACCAGCAACCUGCACCUGUCAGCGGCAAAAACUUUCACAGGCUCAUCAUUUGUACAAAUACAGAAGGUAACCCACUUCAUUACUUUGAUACAUUUGAUAACCCAAUUGUGAAACAUAAUUUAUGUAAACUGACAUUAUUUGUUGCUUAUUUUCUAUUUCUUAGAUGCAUAUAAUAUCCAGGGCAUUUUAUGAUACCUGAAGUGAAAUAGAAAGGUGAACGCAGUGAUCAGGUUGGUUCCUCCAGGCUAAUCAUUUAUAAUGUAAUCAGUGCUCUGUGUGUGUGCGUGUGCGUGCAACCGACCAGUAUCUUUGAUGAGGGGCCAGGAGCUGAUCUACGCUGCUAUGGCCAUCAAUGUGGCUCGGGCAAAGACCUCACCUCCAGCCUCACCUCUUGCCUGCUCACCAACUGUCGUCGAUGGGGAGACCAGAAUUGGAAACAUGUAUGGAGCCAGCACAUGGAGUCUUGCAAUAUGAUGUGAUGAAGUCCAGACUGACAGUCGAGCUUGAUACUGAUGUCUAUGAAU